GGCCUUAUUCUGAGGCUGGGUGGGGGUUCCCCGGGGAGGGGAGACCCAAAGAGAAAGGGGUUACUGCCAGGGGGCAGCCCCCAGAUAAAGGGGCACCAGGGUCCAGUAGGGACACGGGGGCCAGCAGUGGUGGCAAGACACCGGCCUGAAGAAGGCGCUCCGGAAGCUGGAGAGCUAAUUCCCGGAAGUAACCAACACGAGGCGCCGCUGGAUAUUUUCUACACAUCGAAUUCCAUCCAAUUAAAGAUUGCCUCAGUGCCUGGAUUUGAG
Chrysemys picta bellii (western painted turtle) is the source of this 270-nucleotide non-coding RNA. Lineage: Eukaryota; Metazoa; Chordata; Testudines; Emydidae. The record is from RefSeq and is a predicted model, not a curated record.